Molecule: non-coding RNA, 22 nt
Filed under: Arabidopsis thaliana (thale cress)
Lineage: Eukaryota; Viridiplantae; Streptophyta; Magnoliopsida; Brassicales; Brassicaceae
Source: RNAcentral
CAUAGAUCAAGGAGCUCGUCCU